GGGCGCAGGCGAAAUUCCGCAGGGAGCACGGUGAGGAAGGAGCUGGCGGUUGGGGUCGGGUCUCCGGGCGCGUACUCCCCCCGCCGGUGAGGGUGAACUAACGGAGGUGGGCGGGCCGGCGCGCCGGGUUAGCAGGCGUUUAUCCUGUAUGGCCGCAGCAGUCAGCGCCCUUCACCAGCCCGAGCCCCGCGGGCAGAGCCCUCGGCGGCAUCCAGCAGGAGGCCUCCCGCGGGAGCUGUCACUCCGCCAAACAAGAGAGAUAAACAAGCAAAAGUCUAGAAACAAGCCAGCUGUCCAUCUACAGUGGAAAGCAUAAACAAAUUGUGAUGUGUUCACGUACUGAAAUUUUACCCUGGCGUGAAAAAUCCACGAGCCACAGCUGCAAGCAACAAUAUGGUAAAGUCUUUGUGAAAGGCAUCAGUUGGAACCUCAGAGUUUGGCUUUCUCUGCAGGUGUGCUGGGGGCCUCAGCGUCCGUGUGCCUCAGCUGCCUGGGCUCAGUCUGUCCAGGAGGGAUUUGGAAAGGACCCAGGCACCGCCCAACUGCCUUGCAAAGUGGCUGCACCACGUGCGUCCCCACCAGCGGUGAGCGUUCCGGCUGCCCCACAUCCUCGCCAGCAUUUGGUGUUGUCGGUGCUCUGGAUUCUGGCCAUUCUCAGAGUUUAAAUGUUACGGAAGCAACAUAAGAAAGAUGCUUCGUAGCAGCAGUCUUGCUGGGUGAACACAAAUGAUAAGUAUUUUUAGAGGGGCCCAUUUCUCAACAGUACGACACCAUUCGUGCAGCUCUUUAUCCUUCAGGGAGCACUUGGAAACGCCUCGCUGGAGUCAUGGGUAGCCUGCCAGGGCCAUGCAGCCAGCGCUCUCCGCACUGACUCGCUCAAGCUCUGCCACCCCCGCACCAGCAAGGUGACGGGCGACUGCAGUUCUGUGUCUGCUGCACACCGUUCCUGCUGCCUCCUGGGAUCUCGGGGACACGAAGUGAAUUGAUGCGUUUCUGGAAGCUUAGACUAGCCUGGCUCAUAGCAAACACGCCCUGAACGUGAGCCGUGCUUAUUGUGAUUGACGCGGGAAGAAUUCAAGUUCAUUACGUGCUAAAUAUCACCAGCACAAGAGUUUACUGCAAGACCACUGGAGGAUUUUUUAAAGGACCUCUUAAAAUUCCCCUGAAGAACUAAAAAAGUUGCAGUGUGGGUAACUGAAAUAAUCAAAAUGAGCCCCCAGUUUCCCACGUGAACCUCGAGAUCCAAGCGACUCGGCCAGGGAUUCCCAGCUCUGAUGCCGUGAACAGUAAAAACCUCUCCACUUCCAUCAACCAAGAAACAGGCGUUUUCUGAAGGCCUUUAUGCCAGGCCCUGAGAAAACAGAAAAGUGUGACCCAGGUCCCCGGCCUUGGGGAAGACAAGCAAGGGCUGGGGAAUUCUGAGUGAGGGGGACAUCUGGGGAAAGGGAAGGAGAGACUCAAGGUCAAUUUCAAAACAGAGGGCAUAUUUGGUUGGGGCUAAAUGGGUGAGGCAGUGUCGCCACGAGCAUGGGGGAAGGCGGCCCCACUAGGCAGAGGGAAGGACGAACAGGAAGCUGGGGUGUAGCUCUGGUGGCUCCGGGGACAGAGGGAGAAGGAGCCACCUGAAAUGUACGGCGGUGCUGUCUGCCCACCACCCCUGCCCCUGCCUCCGGGGAGUAAUCCAUCCUCCGCUCUGGAGCGCGUCUCCUGGGGUCCUCAUGCAGUCGUCAUCCUCACGGUGGUCCAUCCUCCUGGGCACACGAGGGCUUCGGGAAACAGAAGGAAUGGAAUAGGAUCCCCACCCUCCUUUUCCCAAAGUGUGUAUGUGUGUGUGUGUGUGUGUGUGUGUGUAAGAAAGAAUUUGGGGCCGAGGGAGGAGGAAACCAAGUUCGGGUUUAGAAAAAUUAGGAAGAUAUACCCUCCCUUGUUUACUUCUGGAUCGUUGUUUGAUUAUUAGCAGCAGGUUUUGUUUCUUUUGAGUACUCUGUUAAGUUGGAAUCUUCCAGAAGCAGACCCUGAGACGAGGAUUUUAAUGCAUGAGCUCUGGUUGAGGACCAACGCCCGAAGUGCGCUGGGGAUGUGGGGAGCUGGCCCAGGACGUGAGCGCCCGGAGGAGGCUGUGCGCAGCUGCGCUCUUCGAGUCCGCAGGGCCGCGGAAGAAGCCGUGGUGGCCGGAGGGCUAUGCCCGGGGGCUACCCACCCUCCAGCCCUCAGCCCACCUCCACGCCCCUGGCAGGACCGGAGUGAAAGCCCCUUGCUCCAGGACGCCCCAGGUACCUGCUGUGUGGAGGACACGGGGAGGAACUGACAAAAGUGUUUUCUACAACCUUCUUUAUCAAACUUUUUGAUAUUAUCUAGAAAUGUGACUUUGAACUUCUCAUAGUCAAAAGGAAACUUUUCAUUUAGAAAAAAUAAGACAUGCCUGGUUGGGACUUCCCUGGCGGCCCGGUGGUGCAGACUUUGCCUUCCAAUGCAGGGGG
This is a non-coding RNA of Delphinapterus leucas (beluga whale), 2480 nucleotides long. Lineage: Eukaryota; Metazoa; Chordata; Mammalia; Artiodactyla; Monodontidae. The record is from RefSeq and is a predicted model, not a curated record.